Long non-coding RNA from Gopherus flavomarginatus (Mexican gopher tortoise), 1082 nucleotides. RefSeq lists it as uncharacterized. The transcript is spliced from 2 exons. The record is from RefSeq and is a predicted model, not a curated record. NCBI's taxonomy places the organism in Eukaryota, Metazoa, Chordata, Testudines, Testudinidae.
AAUUACCAUUGACCUCAAUGUCCUUAACUAUUUUCUCCUUCAAAUUUUUUUCCAAGACCUUGCAUACUACAGAUGUCAAACUAACAGGCCUAUAGUUACUUUUGGCCUUUCUCACUUUAUCCCUACAUGUUCUGACUUCAAUAGGGUAGCUUUCCUUGCUUAUCCCUCCGAUCUUCCACUCCUUGUAGGCGUUCUGCUUUUUCUUAAUCACCUCUCUGAGAGGCUUGCUCAUCCAGCUUGGUGCUUGCUCAUCUAUCUCAUUCAGCCAUUUGUUUUUAAAAUUAUUACUUAAAUGCAGGGGGAGAAAGUAAGAUUUUUAGCUAAUAAUUCUUAACGUUGUGCGGUUAGUGAACUAAUUCUUUCUCCAGCAUAUUAUAUCAGUGGACUGAAGACAAAGAGUCUAUCCAGGGCUCUAAGCAGCAUUGCAAUGGAUUAAAAAUGCAAACAAAAGCAGACUAAACAACUUUCCCAAAAUCAGGAAAGAAAAAUGACAGAAGGACCUCUGUGCACGCAUUUCAACCCUCUGUGCAUUCUCCUGCCUGGCCUGGCAGAAGAAACUGUGUUUUGUCGUGCCCAGAAGGUCAACAGGCCUGGGCUUCUUCAAACCAAGGAGGGAGAGAAUUCCACAGUUCAGAGUCCUGCAUGGAGACUGCUGUUACAGUGCCUUGUGCACACUUAAAUGCCGGGGGUUCAGUUCAAGUGCCUUCACCAACCACAGCUAUGGCAGUAUAGAACUGGGAGAGGGAUUAGACCAGACACUUAAGAUUAAGAAACCUACCUGUUGAAGUACAGUAGAACUUCAGAGUCACGAACACCAGAGUUAUGAACUGAACAGUCAACCACACACCUCAUUUGGAACCAGAAGUACACAAUCAGGUAGCAGCAGAGACUAAAAAAAGAAAAAGGAAAAAAAAACCAAACAAACAACCUUCUCCUGCCCAGCUGUCCCACUGUUUGCAGGAGUAUGUAUACUGCAUCUCCUGUGCCUGUAAGACUGAUCGAACCCAGUGACACAAACAUUAUUGUAUAUAAAUGUUUACUUUGUAUUGCAAACCAUUAUAAACAGCUUCUUUCAAAGGCAA